AGAAGGCAUGGAUGUCAAUCCUAGCUACAGCUGUGUGACGCUGGCCCUCUCUCAGCCUCAGUUUCUGCUUCUGUAAAAUGGGAAAUGAUAACGAGGGUUGCAUUGCCUACCUCUCAGAGUGAUUGGGAGUAAAGUGCUUUGUCAUCUUUAAAGCGUUACAGAUUCGUGAAUGAGGAAGAUGAUGAGACAUCUGUGGCAUCCGCCCCUCCUGGGUGGCCCAUGGCGGGAGGCUUCUCAGUAGGACAACUGAGCCGUACCUAGGGGGCUCUUAAGUCCGCUUAAUCAAUGGGGCUGCAGCGGACAGCGAGACUCAAUCCCCAACUGAUCCACCUGACCUGGGCUAGACCGCCGGAAAACAGCCCGAGGCUUUGCGGUUUGCUAGAAAACAAAGGAACAGAAAGACCCACCCAAAGCUAGAGAAAUGAACCCUAAGACCUUGCAGAGUAAAGCUUGAUAUGGAAAUAUGAUCCUAUCUUGGAAGUGGGGAACAUCAUUAGGGCUGCCAUCCACUAGUACAUUAUGCCAACUUGGGAAAAUAAGACUCAUCUUCCUGAGUUCAAAUCUGACCUCGGAUACUUCCUAGUUGUCUGACCCUGGAAAGGGUUCCAUUUCAAGAGGAUAGAGUAGGAGGGAAGAUAUUUCCAGAAAUGAUGAUGAUCUGAAAAGGCAUCAAUAAAGCGUAUUAAUAAAUGAAUGAA
Monodelphis domestica (gray short-tailed opossum) is the source of this 698-nucleotide long non-coding RNA. RefSeq lists it as uncharacterized. NCBI's taxonomy places the organism in Eukaryota, Metazoa, Chordata, Mammalia, Didelphimorphia, Didelphidae. The record is from RefSeq and is a predicted model, not a curated record.